AAUUUGUACUCCACUUUGUUUUAGAAUUGAUUGAUGAUGUUAAGACUUAACCACUCAAGGUUCAAUAAUCUACAUGCAACUACUUAUAGGAAGUGGGGCUCUGUCUCUCAGAAAGACAUUGUUUUGGCUUAUAUUUAAUAGUUAGAGAGGAAAACUUCAGACACCAAGGACGUGAAUUAGUGCUCAAUGAAACAUUGGGUGAUUUCUUCGUGUAGACACUAAGAUCACUCUCUGCAAACUGGUGCACAAUAACAAUGG
RNAcentral lists this unclassified non-coding RNA (258 nucleotides) under Hevea brasiliensis (rubber tree). The record is from RNAcentral. Lineage: Eukaryota; Viridiplantae; Streptophyta; Magnoliopsida; Malpighiales; Euphorbiaceae.